GGGUAAAUUGUUAAGAUUUAAAACUUACUCAUAUUACCUUUCACGAUGGGGCUUGCAACCGUCACUUGUGUCCUAAGCAGUUAAAAGAUAGAACGGUCAAGUCAAGCGCCAUGUCUCUUAUUCUUGAUCAGCUAUAGCUCUGGAGUUUUUGCAGAUUUUCAAAUAAAACUCAGAGAUUCCUUGUAUGACUCUCUCAUAUCUCGCUUUUGUGGUAUUUCUGGAUCCUUACCAAGGCAGUGAUGGUAUAUGCCUUCUCUCAAAAAGUAUGUGGUAUAUGUGGUAUAAGGCAUUGUGACAUUACCUUCUCUCUCACCCUACUCUAAAAAGGUUUUGAUAUCUGGAGCUCAUAGGUGGGAGACAGCUAAUACAUACUUACAAGACAUUUAUUGCAUAGUCAAACCAUGGAUCCAGAGAAACUAGUCAAUAAGUCAAAUCAAGAUAUGCAUGUGUGGCGGAUGAAUGGUGUAUGGUGAUGAUGGUGAUAACAAUGGUGAAAGUCUAAUUCUACUUUUGCUCUUUUUAGGGGAUACAUACCUUUCUUGCACUUUGAAGCUUUUUGAGGAGAAUGAGAUGCUCUAUAUUUUCUUUUUCUUUCCUCUCAGGUGGGUAUCUUGUACCCCUAAUUCUACUAUCGGACACUUGUCCAUUUUUACCUCUCGCCUCACUUUUUCUUUUCUUCGAGGUUCCGGGCACUUGCCCCUUUUUAUUUCCUCGUAUUAUUAUUAUAUUUUUUUUUCUCUUUUCUUCUUUUUUUAGAGCACUCAUCUCCUAAAAGAAUGUAGCAAGUGGUAGUAACCAAAAUAACUAGAGCAUUUAUUUCACAGGAAAAAACAGAAAUAUUUUUGGCCAUUCUUUCCCGGAUUAGGAGUAGAAUGUUUUUGGGUGGUUCUAGAGAUGGAAAUGAGUGGAUAUAUGUGGAUGGUACUUCCGGAGUAGAAGUACCAUGUAUGAGUGAACGUGCAAGUGAAUCUUGAUUUUAACCACAUGACAAGCUCCUAAGGGUAUACACAGCUUGACCACACUCAAUGCUCAUAAGCAGUAAAAAAUAAAUGUGUGGCUCAAAGUCUAAUAAGCAUGUAUAUAUGGUUGUGAUAGGAUUUUAAACUCUCAUCAUACAGGAACUCAUCAUGUGUUAUUUUAAAGAUUUUCAAAGAUAAAAUUCUCCAUAAUUCUAGCAUCUCUAGAAACAGAUAAACAGCAGCUCAACCUUCCCAUAUCAUAUCCGUUAACAACUUAGACUUUAGAUCAAGUACUCUCCCCACAAGUUCAGGUUUAGAGCAAAUCUUACUUCAUAACAGUCAUACCUAAACUUGAGAGAUAUUUCAAUUUUAAGAACUAGUCAUGGCAGAGCAACUAUUCAUCAUUUCCAUGUGAGAGUUUAUCAUGAGGGUUCAUAGCAAACUUUAUUUAUUUAGCAAACUAAGAAAAGAUAUAUAUAUAUAAAAGCACAAAAUCUUUAUUUGGGUUUUCAUGAUUAUGCAUCUUUUGUUAUUUGAGUAAAGUAUAAACGCGAAUAGAAACACUUAGUUGGAUAAAUGGGGGUGCUCUCCCCCAAGCUGGAUUUUGACGUAAUUUCUUCUGAUGUAGCUAGCAGGUGAUGGAGGUGUAUUUGAAUGUCGGCAGCACCCUGACAGCGAUUAGGAUGUCCUCCGUGUGCUAGUCUUCUUUGAUCCUUGAAUUCUGUGGAGCUCAAAUAGACAACAAAGCUUUGUGGAACUGGUUAAGUGUUAGCAUAAACAUCUAGCCUUUAUCAUGUUGAGCCUCCUUAAUAAAUGUUACUCUCUUUGGUAGGAUCACAAUCUUAUUUUUAUAUUUUCAUUUUUAUAGAGUAUUAAGAUCCAUAGCAAACUUUAUUUAUUUAUUUAUUCAUUUAUUUAUUUAUUUAGCAAACUAAGAAAAGUAUAUAUAUAUAUAUAAGCAUAAAAUCUUUAUUUGGUUUUUCAUAGUUUAUGUAUUUUAAUAUUCUAAUAUAAUAUAAGUAUAAAGAUAGGUAGAAAUACUUAGCGAGAUAAAUAGGGGUGCUCUCCCCCAAGCUGAAUUUUGACGUAAUUUCUCUUGAUGUAGCUAGCAGGUGGCAGAGGUGUAUUUGAAAGUCAGCAGCAUUCUGACAGCGAUUAGAAUGUCCUCCAUCUGCUAGUCUUCUUGAUUCUUAAAUUCUGUGGAGCUCAUAUAGACAACAAAGCUUGUGGAACUAAUUAAGUGUUGGCAUAAAUAUCUAGCCUUCAUCACGUUGAGCUUUCUCAAUAAAUAUUACUCCCUGUUUUUAUAUUUUGAUUUUAUAAAGUAGAAAAGAAAUAUUUAUUUUAUUUUUAUGCCACCACAGUGAAGGUACUUAUGGGUUUUAUGCCACUCGUAUACUCACAUGGAGCUUAGUAUUUUUUAACAUUUUUAUUUUCUUUUCAAGAUAGCAUGAUUAACUAAUAAUCUAUUUAAGGAAAGUAAAUAAUUAAAGGAAAAGGGAAUGCAGAAAGGAUAAAUAUGGAUAACUACCAAUCUUACCUUUCGGCGAGGGUUCAAUGUUUUAAGUCUUCUUGACAAGACUUCUCACUGUGUUCAUUCUUCAGGUGCGUCAUUUGAUUCAGGUGCGGACCUUGAUGUCUGCACCUUUUAAUACGGUGUCACCCAUGUUCUUCGUUUGCCCAGCAGUUCGAAGUGCGGUGUUAGCAGUAUCUUGCUCAGUGUGUUUGUGCUCGUAGUGUACCUGCUCAUAGAGACAAGGCAGAGAUCAAGUGCAUGGGCCCUGUUGGUGGAAAACACCAACAGAACCAAAAGUGUAUUUAUUCAUCUCUAUCCUUGAGCAUAGGGGGC
Molecule: long non-coding RNA, 2808 nt
Filed under: Sorghum bicolor (sorghum)
Lineage: Eukaryota; Viridiplantae; Streptophyta; Magnoliopsida; Poales; Poaceae
Description: long non-coding RNA (SBIC_LNC014416)
Source: RNAcentral